CUUAUCCCUUUUGCAAUGAAUGGGAAACACGUGGUCUUCAAUGUUCAUACCAUUUUUUCCUUUCUUUAUUCUUCCUUUUCUUUGUAUGACUCCUAAAUCUUUUGUUCCCCAAAAAAUUGCUUCGUUCUAUGAUAACUCAAUUUACCAUUUCAACACUACAAAAUCAAAGCGAACACCCUAGGAUACGAAUAUAUACUGGAAAGGCACAUACAGAGAGAUUGAGAUAUUGAAAUUUUAAGCUAAGGCGUAAAACUAAGAAGCCGGGUCAUCUCUAAAAGCAGAACCACUGUAUCUUCAUUGAGGUCUCAUCAGCUUCUCUCUCUGGUAUUCAUUUUUCAAAUUGUAAGCUCUUUGUUUAGUUUUACAGGUAUCAGAACACCAUGUCACAACGAACCGACAUCAAUUAUGAAUCUACGAUGAUCAUAUAACACCAGCUUUAUCUGAUUGAACAUGCAAAAUGCAAGUUGUGGACAAAAUCAAGAGCGAGAAAAUCUUCUCAAUAAAAAGAAGACUUCAGAAUUAAUCUUGCAAGAUGAAGAGAACUUGAAGCUGCAAUUAUGCUGCGCAACACAGCGCAACUAUAGAAAUGCGGCGCACUGAAUUAUUUUGCUAAUGGGAACUUCAGGAAAAAGGUUUUGAAGCUCAACUCAAGAUAGUUAGGUUCUUCUAUGGCAUUUACAACUAAAUGUGGUGCACGAUAAUUAUAUUUGACACUGUAGUUUGAAAUUUUAAGAUUCUCUAUUACCAACUACGCGAUGAAUAAAUUGUGUAUCAAACAGUUCUAAAUGUUGAUGUUCCAGGAUAGAAUUUUCCCUUUGUAGUUUCUCAUUUCAUUAUUGUUUGAGCAUAAGUUAGUAAAUAGAGCCUAAAAAGAGAUCAUGUGCGCUGAUGAAUAUCCUUGCAUAAACAUAGUAGUCUAUGUAGUUUCUUAGUAUAGUUAAUAAUGUCGGUACUCCCUACAACAUGUAAUUAUUUUAUAGGUCCAUGUGUUAAAAUUAAUUAGGGUGCACCAUAGUCCAUAAUAGCUAUUUACUUUGAUAAGUUUUUGUUUAUGGCAUUUUCCUUGAAAUUCUUUGGAAGAUAUUUUAAGUGACCAAAAAUGAUAGGAAAAUAUAUUGAUCCCACUCUAGACGAAGAAUUAAUGCACCAAAGAAGUAACAUAAGCUUCAUUGAAAAAAGUAGAAGUCAACUCAUAUAUUAUCAUCAUCAAACUGAGGAGAAUAGGUAUUGAUAGGUACUACUUUCUUAUUCGUACAGGGAUAAGGAAUUUUUUCUAUUUCUUCUUUCUAAAGGCAAGGCUAAGCCAUCCGCCCUUCAUUGCAGGGGAAAAGGGGAGACGGUUCCCAAGGGGUGGCUCUAUGUCACCUUCAAAGUUUUAUUGUAAGAUUUUAUUUUAAUAAACUUAUGUAUUACAUGCUCUAUAGCGUUAUGAAAGAACUAGGAUUGUCCCAAAAAAAGAUAUUGAUUCCUAGCUAGAGCAUGGAAGAGAUGUAUCCCAUUAUUUAUUAAAAUUGUUACCAAUGAAGUUUCAAAGAAGCUUGUUCCUACUUCAUUUUAGCAGUAGCUGUUGCUUCCCCGUGGCGGGUAAAUUAGAGGUAUCUCUAUUUUCUAUGCUCAUGAUACUUUGGCUGAUUACUAACCUCUAUUUUUAUAGUUGAAGGUUUUUGCAGGUUCAAUUUUAGUUUCUUAGAGCUUAGGUGUUUGGAGCUGAAUUUGAUAAUGAUAGAUGAUUUCAUAGGGUUGCCAACAACUUCAGCGCCAUCGCAGCUUGAGAUACUUAUCAUGAAUCACAAAUGCAGGAAAAAUGCUGAUAUCUCAAGCUGUUAGAGCUAUGUGUAGAUUCUGAGUAUGUUCUCUUCUAAAAUCUCUAUCUAAUUUCCCCUAUCCGUGGAACUGCAGUUCUUUAGUGAAAAAAGCUCCAUCAACCUUUCAAUACUAAAAUCAGUGACAACCGUGAUUACAAUAACCCAGGUGUCUCUAUUUGAAAAAGUGUCUGACAUCCUGCUUCACCUAUUGAUUGAGUUGAAUGUUUUGGUUAGCGCUUCAUACAACUAAUAUAUGGUGUUUUUGGUCCAUGCUAAGAAUAUUCAUAUGGAAUCUUAUUGGUUAAUUACAGUAAUUUCGAUUUUUUUCUGGAUCAAGCAUCAUGUCUCUAUGGUGUAUAUAUUUUCUUUUUGAUGUAAUAUUAGAGGUAGGAAGUGUCUUAGUCUUUUCUGUAGCUAUAACUGUUCAAAAGUCGAUUCUCCAUUUCUGCUUUCAAUCUGGAGUUCCUAUCCUUUGGCUUGAUGCUUCUCUUACCUAUGUUGUUCGACUUGAAUGUGCCAUCAAGCUCUUGACGACAAUUCAAAAAGCACUGAUAUAGCAGUUUGGAGUGUCUUGCUGGUGAUGACCCUGAUCCUACUUCAAAUGAGAGACUACGUUAUGAAUCAAGACUAUGUUAUACCUCCAAAUAACACAAACUAUAUAUGUCAGGCAUAUGCCCGUGCACAGCACGGGCACCACCUAUCUAGUAUAGAUAGAAGAAGAGAGAAGAUGGUCGACCAAUGGUAUAUUUGUAAAUCUAUCUUCAUUUAAGGGCAAAAUAGUAAUUGUGUCACUAAAUGAUAAAAUAAAACUCUAGAAGGAUCCGAUUUUUCAUUCUAAUCUUUAACUGUCUUUCUUCUUCCAGUUUUUACUUGGUCUGUGCUACAUUUCUGAGUCUGUUGAAUUUUUCUUCACUCUCACUUGCUUUGCCUGUUGCAUCCAUUUGUUGUUUGUUGCACCUCUUUGUUGGUAAUGGGGAUUUGGUGGGUAUCUCUUAUUUAUUAUUCUUUUGGAAUAUUUUUUCCACCGUGUACAUCUGCUUUUGACAUGCAUGUUUGGUUUUUUCCUGCAUAGGUUUAAACACGAUUUGGGCACAUUGAAUUAACAUCUGGAACGAAAAUGACAUAAAAAUAGACAAGAGCAUUGUUGCAGCCAAGGACCUCAAUCUAUUAUCUUAUAACUGUAGAUCGCAGAAAAAGGCAAGCACCUUAUGCUGGAGCUUUCUUUGGAAGAUGAGCAACGCUAAUCGUAAUGUUUUGUCUGCUCAGAUACAAAGAAGACGUUUAUGAGCUCAAAGGAAAAGUUUUAUUUAACGUUCCUCACGAAAUUUUGCGUGUUUGUUCAGGUUCGUUAUUACUGCUUUGCGUAUUGUGUUGCUUUACGCAACCCCAAGGAAUUGUUGGGGUUACUUUGCAUUUGACAGUGAUGGGCAGGAGCGGCGUGUUGAAUCAUGGAAUUAGCUACCCAUGCCACAUCAUCGGUUUGUCGAGACAUUUCCUUUAUUUUUCCCUGCGUCUAAUUUUAAAUCCAGCACGUGAGUAGAUAUUCUAGCUGAUAAUGGAUAAAAUCAUUUGUAUUACCGAACUUAAAAAUGCAAGAUUUUGUGUCCAUUGAUUCAAAUGUAUUUCUUGCAAUCGUAGUACUGAUAUGCUUUAUCAUAUCCAAUGUACCGAAAAAAAGAAAUGUAUAUGUUGGGUCCGUGCAAGAACGGGCCACAGCCAUUUAGUUAUAAUAUAAAAUAGAAUUUGUACUUUCUAUUA
Long non-coding RNA from Nicotiana attenuata, 3563 nucleotides. RefSeq lists it as uncharacterized. Lineage: Eukaryota; Viridiplantae; Streptophyta; Magnoliopsida; Solanales; Solanaceae. The record is from RefSeq and is a predicted model, not a curated record. The transcript is spliced from 7 exons.